Molecule: ribosomal RNA, 253 nt
Filed under: uncultured bacterium
Lineage: Bacteria
Description: partial 16S ribosomal RNA
Rfam family: Bacterial small subunit ribosomal RNA
Source: RNAcentral
UACGAAGGGGGCUAGCGUUGUUCGGAUUUACUGGGCGUAAAGCGCACGUAGGCGGAUAUUUAAGUCAGGGGUGAAAUCCUGGAGCUCAACUCCAGAACUGCCUUUGAUACUGGGUAUCUAGAGUCCGGAAGAGGUGAGUGGAACUCCUAGUGUAGAGGUGGAAUUCGUAGAUAUUAGGAAGAACACCAGUGGCGAAGGCGGCUCACUGGUCCGGUACUGACGCUGAUACGCGAAAGCGUGGGGAGCAAACAGG